RNAcentral lists this ribosomal RNA (443 nucleotides) under uncultured bacterium. RNAcentral describes it as "partial 16S ribosomal RNA". It matches the Rfam family "Bacterial small subunit ribosomal RNA", at positions 338 to 795 of the family's 1533-position model. The record is from RNAcentral.
CCUACGGGAGGCAGCAGUGGGGGAUAUUGGACAAUGGGGGGAACACUGAUCCAGCGACGCCGCGUGAGUGAAGAAGUAUUUCGGUAUGUAAAGCUCUGUCAGCAGGGAAGAAAGAAAUGACGGUACCUGACCAAUAAGCCUCGGCUAACUACGUGCCAGCAGCCGCGGUAAUACGUAGGGGGCGAGCGUUAUCAGGAUUUACUGGGUGUAAAGGGAGCGUAGAGGGAUAGUUAAGUCUGGAGUGAAAGGCCGGGGCCAAACCCCGGGACUGCUCUGGAAACUAUUGAACUUGAGUGCAGGAGAGGUAAGCGGAAUUCGUAGUGUAGCGGUGAAAUGCGUAGAUAUUAGGAGGAACACCGGUGGCGAAGGCGGCUUACUGGACUGUAACUGACACUGAGGCUCGAAAGCGUGGGGAGCAAACAGGAUUAGAUACCCGAGUAGUC